Long non-coding RNA from Strigops habroptila (Kakapo), 593 nucleotides. RefSeq lists it as uncharacterized. The record is from RefSeq and is a predicted model, not a curated record. The transcript is spliced from 3 exons. NCBI's taxonomy places the organism in Eukaryota, Metazoa, Chordata, Aves, Psittaciformes, Psittacidae.
AAUUGUACCAGGAUGUACGACUGUAAUAUAUCUGAUGAACUUUUGAUCCUAUUGAAGCUGUUCUCGUGAAUUGACUUCAUUCAUGCAGUUUCUCCUUAUUACAGAUGCAAAGGCUAGUGACAUCCUUUACCCUGGACUCGUAGAAUGUGGUUUUGAAUUACAGACUCACAGAUAGGCUGAGAUGGAAAGGCACCUCUGGAGAUCAGCUUUUGUUUUAGAACAAAGAUAUUUUUCAAAAUAUUCUCACAUGUUAUAGCCCAGACCUACUCCAGGCAUCUUGCAAAGCUACUGAAAGAGCCCUUUCUGAGACAUUUCUAGGAAGAGCAACCAUCCUCUGCCUCAGAAAUAUCCCAAGUAUGAUUUCCUCUUGGCAAAUAAAUUCAACAAUAAUCUGAAACAAAUAAGACAACACUUUAAAUCACUAAAGAAAAUGAAAGAUCUCACUCUGAAGGGAACACCAUUAAAGAGUAAGUAGAAAAUGGAGUCCCAGGUGGGAUGAGAGGAUGGAAACGUUGCAGGCAAAUACAUCUGGAACACAGUCAAGUCAUUGGCUUCAAAUGCACUUAAAUAACCAAGCAUUUGAAAGCUUCUCC